Molecule: small nuclear RNA, 106 nt
Organism: Rattus norvegicus (Norway rat)
Lineage: Eukaryota; Metazoa; Chordata; Mammalia; Rodentia; Muridae
Source: Ensembl
GUGCUCGCUUCGGCAGCCCAUGUACUAAAAUUGGAACGAUAUUGAGGAGAUUAGAUGGCCCCUGCACAAGGUUGACACACAAAUUCGUGAAGCGUUCCAUGUUUUU